UGAGGAAUAUUGCACAAUGGGCGAAAGCCUGAUGCAGCGACGCCGCGUGGGUGAAGAAGGUUUUCGGAUCGUAAAACCCUUUUCUGUGUGACGAGAACGGACGGUAGCACAGGAAUAAGUCUCGGCUAACUACGUGCCAGCAGCCGCGGUAAAACGUAGGAGACAAACGUUAUCCGGAGUUACUGGGCGUAAAGGGCGUGCAGGCGGCAGUCUAAGUCUGGCGUGAAAUAUCCCGGCUCAACCGGGGAAGGUCGUCGGAUACUGGGCAGCUAGAGGACGGUAGAGGCGUGUGGAAUUCCGGGUGUAGUGGUGAAAUGCGUAGAGAUCCGGAGGAACACCAGUGGCGAAGGCGACACGCUGGGCCGUACCUGACGCUAAGACGCGACAGCAUGGGGAGCAAACAGGAUUAGAUACCCGUGUAGUCCCUGAGCGGGCUGGCAAGGCGCAU
Molecule: ribosomal RNA, 448 nt
Filed under: uncultured bacterium
Lineage: Bacteria
Description: bacterial SSU rRNA
Rfam family: Bacterial small subunit ribosomal RNA
Source: RNAcentral